RNAcentral lists this ribosomal RNA (473 nucleotides) under Bacillus stratosphericus. Its description in RNAcentral is "bacterial SSU rRNA". It matches the Rfam family "Bacterial small subunit ribosomal RNA", at positions 39 to 489 of the family's 1533-position model. The record is from RNAcentral. Lineage: Bacteria; Bacillati; Bacillota; Bacilli; Caryophanales; Bacillaceae.
GGCAAAGGGACCGCCAAAUAUUGACAAGUGGGAGCGGAAAAAAUGGAACUUGCUCCCGGAUGUUAGCGGCGGACCGGUGAGUAACACGUGGGUAACCUGCCUGUAAGACUGGGAUAACUCCGGGAAACCGGAGCUAAUACCGGAUAGUUCCUUGAACCGCAUGGUUCAAGGAUGAAAGACGGUUUCGGCUGUCACUUACAGAUGGACCCGCGGCGCAUUAGCUAGUUGGUGAGGUAACGGCUCACCAAGGCGACGAUGCGUAGCCGACCUGAGAGGGUGAUCGGCCACACUGGGACUGAGACACGGCCCAGACUCCUACGGGAGGCAGCAGUAGGGAAUCUUCCGCAAUGGACGAAAGUCUGACGGAGCAACGCCGCGUGAGUGAUGAAGGUUUUCGGAUCGUAAAGCUCUGUUGUUAGGGAAGAACAAGUGCAAGAGUAACUGCUUGCACCUUGACGGUACCUGACCACAAG